Non-coding RNA from Doryrhamphus excisus (bluestripe pipefish), 1458 nucleotides. The record is from RefSeq and is a predicted model, not a curated record. NCBI's taxonomy places the organism in Eukaryota, Metazoa, Chordata, Actinopteri, Syngnathiformes, Syngnathidae.
GGCGGCCCACGCUGUGAAUUCCGUUGGCCCCAGAGCAAAAGGAGAGUCAAGAGUGACUAAAUCAAAGGGAAUACGGUAAAAGGCGGGGGAAAUUACACGGAGUAUGACAUGUAGCGGCUGUAACAACAAUAACAACAAGUUUGUGUUUGGAAAAUGAAGAGGAGUGCAAGGCAACCGGGGAUGAAGCUGCUGCAAAAGAGGGAGUCCCAGUUCCCCCCCCCCAAACACGAAGGGUGAAAAGUUUGUAAUGGACAAGGACGGCGGUUUAAACCUUGCCCAGACCCUAGCUCCAGUGGCCCCCAGGUAAAUUGAGUUUGAGACCCCUGGUAUAAAAGGGUGGACUGAAAACAAGUUCUCCAAGUCCAUCCGAUGUGAAAUAAAUACUAUAAAUAUACUAAAUACAAGAAAAUCUACCGGCAAGUGAAAAGAAUCCUAUAAAGAUUCUCUCACCACAUGACUUCUCCAACCCAAAGAUCCAUGCUCUACAGGCCCGGACAGACAAAUCAGCUUCAAUAAACUAGUCAAGCUCAAGCAAAGUCCUUCUGUUCCAAAGCAGCCCACAUAGGAUGUUGAAACCAGGAAAAUAUUCUGCACAGCGAAGCAACAACACGCCAUCCUGCAUGCUGUCGCUUUGUGAUGACUGAUGGGUGAGGAGGUGUCAAGCUGAGCCACGCCUACUCAGGAGCACUUUUAUUUCACAAUCGGUGAUGCUUCCAAAUUUUUUUUUGGAGUUGCACAGAACGUCAAACGGCCAUCUUGAAUGAUUUCGAGUGAGAACCUGUCAUGGCCGCUCAGUAUAAUAUCGCGAAAGCAACAAUAACUUUAAUAACAUCAAUACCGAAUAUAAUCAUCCACUUCAUUUAUUUUAGUUUUAUUUAGUUGUAUUAUAGAUCAGCAAAAAAAUGUUUUUAGACUGAGAUGACUUAUGAGAUGAGAUGAUUUAUGGCGUUGACUCCACUUCAGUCAUUCUUUCUCUCCAGUUACCUAUGUGCUUUGUGUCUGUCAUAUCACCCAUUUCAUUUAUUUUAGUUUUAUUUAGUUGUAUUAUAAAGUGGGGUUUUUUUUAAGUUGACUUCGCUUAAGCAAUUGUUCUUCUACUUUCUGAUAAAUUACACAUUUGUUUCGUCACCUUAUGAAUUUAUUGUACUUCUAUUUUGUCGUGUUAUGGAGUUAACGCAGCUAACCUCUCUCUAUGAAAAUUAAAAGUGGUACUGUAUUUAUGACAUGGAAUCCAUUUUACUAAUUCUCACACUCCAUGCAUCUGUCAAGUGACCAAAUGUAUUCUAUUGUUGUAUGGGCUUAUUUUUUCAUAUUAUUUUUACUUUAGUUUAAUUUAAUUGUAUUAUACAGAUGUUAACUUUUUUUUACACUUGUAUGCAGUUGACUCCGUCUAAUAAUCUGUAUGACAGUCAAAUGUUAAACUUACUUAAAAUAUUGCCUGUGGAGUCUAUAAUAAAG